AGGACGAACGCUGGCGGCGUGCUUAACACAUGCAAGUCGAGCGGAAAGGCCACUUCGGUGGUACUCGAGCGGCGAACGGGUGAGUAACACGUGAGUAAUCUGCCCUCCACUUUGGGAUAGCCACCGGAAACGGUGAUUAAUACCGGAUAUGACCUCGCAUCGCAUGGUGUGUGGUGGAAAGUUUUUCGGUGGGGGAUGUGCUCGCGGCCUAUCAGCUUGAUGGUGGGGUAAUGGCCUACCAUGGCUUCGGACGGGUAGCCGGCCUGAGAGGGUGACCGGCCACGACUGGGACUGAGACACGGCCCAGACUCCUACGGGAGGCAGCAGUGGGAAUAUGGACAAUGGGCGAAGCCUGACUCCAGCAACGCCGCGUGAGGAUCGACGGCCUUCGGGUUGUAAACCUCUUUCAGCACAGACGAAGCGAAAGUGACGGUAUGUGACAAGGAAGAAGCGAACCGGCCAACUACGUGCAACGCCAGGCCCGACGGUAAUCGU
RNAcentral lists this ribosomal RNA (495 nucleotides) under uncultured soil bacterium. RNAcentral's name for it is "bacterial SSU rRNA". It matches the Rfam family "Bacterial small subunit ribosomal RNA", at positions 26 to 528 of the family's 1533-position model. The record is from RNAcentral.